RNAcentral lists this ribosomal RNA (433 nucleotides) under uncultured bacterium. RNAcentral describes it as "partial 16S ribosomal RNA". It matches the Rfam family "Bacterial small subunit ribosomal RNA", at positions 29 to 507 of the family's 1533-position model. The record is from RNAcentral.
AACGAACGCUGGCGGCAUGCCUAACACAUGCAAGUCGAACGAGACCUUCGGGUCUAGUGGCGCACGGGUGCGUAACGCGUGGGAACCUGCCCUUAGGUUCGGAAUAACUCCCCGAAAGGGGUGCUAAUACCGGAUAAUGUCUUCGGACCAAAGAUUUAUCGCCUUUGGAUGGGCCCGCGUUGGAUUAGCUAGUUGGUAGGGUAAAAGCCUACCAAGGCGACGAUCCAUAGCUGGUCUGAGAGGAUGAUAAGCCACACUGGGACUGAGACACGGCCCAGACUCCUACGGGAGGCAGCAGUGGGGAAUAUUGGACAAUGGGCGAAAGCCUGAUCCAGCAAUGCCGCGUGAGUGAUGAAAGCCUUAGGGUUGUAAAGCUCUUUUACCCGGGAUGAUAAUGACAGUACCGGGAGAAUAAGCUCCGGCUAACUCCGUG